RNAcentral lists this ribosomal RNA (301 nucleotides) under uncultured bacterium. RNAcentral describes it as "partial 16S ribosomal RNA". It matches the Rfam family "Bacterial small subunit ribosomal RNA", at positions 509 to 807 of the family's 1533-position model. The record is from RNAcentral.
CAGUAGCCGCGGUAAUACGUAGGGUGCAAGCGUUAAUCGGAAUUACUGGGCGUAAAGCGUGCGCAGGCGGUUUUGUAAGACAGAGGUGAAAUCCCCGGGCUCAACCUGGGAACUGCCUUUGUGACUGCAAUGCUAGAGUACGGCAGAGGGGGAUGGAAUUCCGCGUGUAGCAGUGAAAUGCGUAGAUAUGCGGAGGAACACCGAUGGCGAAGGCAAUCCCCUGGGCCUGUACUGACGCUCAUGCACGAAAGCGUGGGGAGCAAACAGGAUUAGAUACCCCUGUAGUCCCUGUCUCUUAUAC